Molecule: long non-coding RNA, 1956 nt
Organism: Neofelis nebulosa (Clouded leopard)
Lineage: Eukaryota; Metazoa; Chordata; Mammalia; Carnivora; Felidae
Exons: 2
Source: RefSeq, a predicted model, not a curated record
GGUGUCGUUGUGCCUCCGUCUCCACAUGCAGCUUUCGACCCCCGCCACAGUGACCACCACGGGCACCUGAGCGAUCAGCCCCACAAGCCCUGCUGGCCAAAACCCAAUUCUUCCCUCUGCCGUUCCUCUUCCAGCCCCCUCUCCAGAAGGCGGCCCCACACCACCCCCUGGGCCCGGUUGGCCGUGGCUGGAAGCUCUAAACGCGGCCUUCCCAGGAUCCGAGGCCGGCCUCCACCUCCACCUAGCUUUGUGCCCUGAACCCAGGUGCUUCCCAUUCGAGGCUCAGCUUCCCCACUUGUAAAGUGGAAGCUAACAGCACCCACCCUGCAGGAUUACUGAGGGAACAAAGGCCGCCUGGGCCCGAUGUUGUUACUGGCAAUGUGUCUCCCCAUUCAGUUCCCUCUGUAGCACUACAUGGUGGGAGGUGCCGUUCCUAAUUUGCGGACAAGGAGCCGUGCUCGGGCAGGCCAAGUCCCACAGCAAGCCACACAGCACAUCUGUCUGUGCUGAAGUGCCCUGCACUGCAUGGGCACUGAUUAAACACCUACUGUGUUCCCGGCUCAUCAGAUGCGCAGAGUGGCAAGCAGCGACUUCCAUCCCCGAUCAGUAGCUACGACAUGGGCCCCUAUAUACGCCUAGCAGUGUCUGCCUGCAAAGUCUUCGUUGUCUCUGGCAAAGCCACAAAUCUUCCCUACCAGAGUGACUUUCUGAAACGCAAGUCUGACGAAGCCCCUCUCCCUAAAACCCUUCAGUGGCUCCCACUGCUUUCAGGAGGGAGUCAGGAUACUUUCAGGAUGGAGUCAGGAUAGAAAAACGACCUCACCCACCGUGCACACGCAAUAAAUGAAUCCAAACUCCCCCCAAACAUGCAUGGCUUUCUCGUGCUCUGUGGCUACACAGAUGCUGUUCCCUCUGCCUGGAAGGCCUUUCCUCCUUAGUUUGCCUGGCAGAUCUCUAUUUAUUCUUCCAGACCCAGUUCAAAGUUCUCCUUUGUUGGACCUUUAGGGGAAAUGGCUUCUCCUCCCUUUUACGCCACCUUUGAACCAGCGUCCGGGCCCCACGGGAUCAUCUUGUAGGUACCCACCAGCCAAGGACUACCAGGACCGGUGCCUGUGGUAAGGUUUAUCAACGGGCUGCAAUUAGGGGGAGGGCCCAAUGUGGGGAACUGGAGGGGUCUCCAUGAGGGGCGUUAGGAAGGACUUUCGGCAGAAUUUGUACUUGCCUUAGGUACUUAGGGAAGUUCAAGGUAGUGGCACUUUACUGAGGCCCUCCUUUUUAUUGGACACUCAGGGGGCGCCUGGGUGGCUCAGUCACUUAGGCGUCUGACUUCGGCUCAGGUCAUGAUCUCACAGUUUGUGGGUUCAAACCCCACAUCGGGCUCUGUGCUGACAGCUGGGAGCCUGAAGCGGCUUCGGAUUCUGUGUCUCCCUCUCUCUCUGCCCCUCCCCCACUAGCACUGUCUCUUUCUUUCAAAAAUAAAUAAAACUUUAAAAAAAAGGAAAAAGACCUUAGGGGUCAAUAUGAAAGUGGAGUGCACUCUGCAGACAGGCAGGAACAAUUUUUAAAUCCUCCAUCAGUCCCUUGUGCCACUAGGGAUGGGCCAACUCUCUGAAAUGUAAACAUAACGAAAGCUCAGAUAUCCACAUUGAAGCCGUCUUCAGGCACGGGGCCACCAGUUUGCAAACGUCACUCUUUUCAAGGCGCCCUCCACUUUCUUUGGGCUCUCGGCCACUCCCUAUACCUUCAAAUAGUACCUGUAUCUGUAGCUUAGCUAUAAUCUAUCUAUACAUAUAUGCACGUGUAUAUAUACACAUAUGUGUGUAUGUGUAUAUGCAGACACUUGUGUAUUCUAUAUACACGUGUAUAUCUCAGAUUUUAUAAUGUAUAUUCCAGAUUACAUGUGAUGUAUGGUGUUAAAUAACAAAACUUCAAACCUAGUAGAAUUUAAAGAUAUAA